GGAUUGUGGCUCAGAGGUAGAGUGCUUGCCUACCAUGCAUGAGGCACUGUGUUUGAUCCUCAGCACCA
This 68-nucleotide transfer RNA is filed under the name Marmota monax (woodchuck). Its description in RNAcentral is "tRNA.Gly". The stretch from base 5 to 65 matches the Rfam family "tRNA", at positions 6 to 65 of the family's 71-position model. From Rfam's summary of the family: Transfer RNA (tRNA) molecules are approximately 80 nucleotides in length. Their secondary structure includes four short double-helical elements and three loops (D, anti-codon, and T loops). Lineage: Eukaryota; Metazoa; Chordata; Mammalia; Rodentia; Sciuridae. The record is from RNAcentral.